This 344-nucleotide small RNA is filed under the name Arabidopsis thaliana (thale cress). RNAcentral describes it as "ATSL156350". The record is from RNAcentral. Lineage: Eukaryota; Viridiplantae; Streptophyta; Magnoliopsida; Brassicales; Brassicaceae.
CCCCCCGCCCGCAGCUGCUAGACCCGAUUUCCGCGAGACGCCCCAUCCGUGUUCAGCCAUCCCUCACCUGGCGGUCUCCAAGCGAUCAACCUUUCCACCCUCUCUACUCUCCUCGUUGACCCACUUAGGCUACCUUGCGCAACGGUGUAAUCUCUCGCCAAUCUUCUAACAAAGCUCACUCUAUCUCGAGAUUUCUUGUUUUCACCAAAGACAUUCGCACACCGCCAUUUCCAUCCCCACCAUAGUGUUGCAGCAAACAAAAUUGGCCAUUGUAUGUCAUUUAUCAUCCGCUUACUCUUGUUGUUGCUAUAUAUCCACUCGAGCAGAGUUUGUGUAAAGAACAC